AUGGUACUCUACUCUUUCCGUUCAUUUGUUUCCAUCCAUUGAAGUCUCGAAACGCAGCCCUCCCUCACCGAGCCCUCAUCUCUCAUCUAAUCUCUCAUCGAACUCGAAGUCACUCUCACGGUCUCACCUCACCCCAAAUUAGGAUUACCAGAUUGCUGCGGCUACCAGGAUUACCAGGUUUAUGCGCUGCAUGUUUUUUGCAAGUCUCAUCCUCUCCCAAAUGAAAUUGUGGCUCCCCAGAGACAGAGCAUUGUGGAUGGAAUGAGGAUGAUAGCACUCAAACUUGAAUUUGGUGUAUCCCACAAUCAGAUAUUUGAGAGGACCCUAGCAGUGCAUUUUACAGAUCCUUUCCAUGUGAGCAAACGGGUUGCAGAUAAAUGCAAUGAUGGUACUUUGCUUCUCUAGGGUGUUGAUCCAAGUAUUCGAGCUGAAGUGUGGCCGUUUCUUCUUGGAGUUAGGAUGAACGGGUCUAGUAGCCAAUCUAGUGCACAUAUGGUCUCGGUAUUAGGGGCCGAAGAGGCCAACAAUCUUCAUAAAUUUUAGGCUUUGUUUUUUUGCUUUUGGUUUGUAACUUAAUUAUUGAAACUUUGGCUUGGAACUAAUUUUUUUGCUUUUGAGUUUGUUACUUUAUUUAUUUUAAAACCUUGACUUGUAACUAAUAUUUUUGCUUUUCGAUUUGACUUGUUGUACGUCACUAUGGGCUGUUGAAUAUAUUUGGCAAAUUGCUUUAAAAUAGAUUUGUACACAGAUUUGACAUGUGUAGUAGAAAUAAAAUUGUUUUUUGUUGAAUUAGGUUAAGCCCAUAUGGGCUGUUGAAUUGAGUGACUAUACAAUUGGACAUAUUCAUUACUAGGCUGGGUGGACAGAUUUUGGGCAUGGCCCAAUAUUGGCUUUUUGUCCAAAAGCCCAAAACCAUUUCGGGAUUCCCGAUUUGUCCCGAAAUCACGAAACUAUUUUGGGAUUCCCGAAAAUUUGGUUUGGGAUCGGUAUUGAAAUUGAGAUUCCCGAAAAUUUUGGUUUGGGAAUCGGGACAAGGGUUUCGGUAUGGGAUCCCAUACCGAACCACCUCUAAUUAUAUGCAUGACUUGAAUCAAACCCUAAAAACAAGGAACCCUAACCCUAAUGGGUAGGAAGUCCCAACAACUUUAACAUCAUCCAUUAAGCUGAAUGUCAUUGGCAAUCAAUUGAUUCCAGGGUAUUCGCAAACACCCAUUCAACCUCGCAUCUUCGAAAACAUUUCAAGCUACAAUGGUUUUGUCAAGAUAUCUACAAUUUGCUCCUGAGUAGAACACUAUAUUAGCUCCACUACUUCAUCUUGGACAAGAUCACGAAGAAAAUGAAUAUGGACAUCUAUGUGCUUGCUACGGCCAUGCAUCACUGGAUUCUUCGAGAGUUUGAUGGCUGAAGUACACUACCGUAGGAUUGGAUUGCACAUGAUUUAGAAUUUUCAAAAUUCUUCUCUGGCACACAACUUCAUACACACUUGAUGCUGCAACAAUAAACUCUGCUUCUAUGGUGGAAAGAGUAACUAUGGGCUGUUUCUUUGAAGACCAAGACACUGCACCCGAAUUCAUCAUAAAAACAUAACUUGAAGUGCUCUUUUUGUCAUACUGAUAUCCAGAAUAAGCGUUGUCUAUGUAGCCAAAGAGCUCUUCAUCUCCUCAUUUCUUAAAGACACCCCAAAGCUAGUUGUGCUCUUCACAUACCUUAGAACUCUUUUUGCUGCCAUCAAAUGAGUCUAUGUGGGACGUUCCAUGUACAUACUAGUUAAGCUUACAACAAACAUUAAAUCAGGACAUGUGGCAGCUAGAUACAUAAGAUUUCCCACCAUCUACUUGUAAACCUUGUCAUCGACUCCCACUCAUUAUUCAUCCCUUGUAAGCUUAAACCCAAAAACCACUAGAUUGUGCACUGAGUUGCACUAGUCCAUAUUAAAUCUCUCCACAAGUUCUUGAGCGUACUUCUGUUAGCUAAUAAAGAUGUUAUCUAAUAUUUGCAACACUUCAAUGCCAAGGAAAUAUCUCAUUUUCUUGAGAUUAGUCAUAUAAAAUUCAACCAUCGUGGACUUCUUAAAUUGUUCGAACAUAACUUCAUCAUUGCCAGUAAAUAUAAGAUCAUCAACAUAAAGACACUUUCAAUAAUUUACCUCCAUCCGUUGUUUUAAUGAACAGAGUAUGCUCGUAGGACAUUUGUUGAAGCCUUCCUUAACAAAGUAUGACUCUAUACGACUGUACUAGGCUCAGGGAGCCUGUUGAGUUCAUACAAAGCCUUCUUGAGCAAAUAGACCUUGGAUUUAUUCCCCUUUUGUUCAUAACCAGGAGGUUGAUCGACAAACACCUUUUCAUUAAUUUCUCCAUGCAGAAAGGCUGAUUUGACAUCAAGUUGGUAAAUCAACCAACUUUUCUGAGUAGCAAGGGAAAGUACAAUUCGAAUUGUAUCCAAGUGAGCCACUGGUGUGAACACUUCAGCAUAAUCUACCCAUAUUGUUAGAUGUAUCCCUUAGCGAAUAGCCAUGCCUUAUACUUGUCGACUUCCCUAUGCUCAUUGAGUUUUGUUUCAAGACCCACUUCACUUCAAUGGUUUUUGCCCUAAUGGUAGAUUCGUUAGUUCUCACAUCUCAUUCCUCUUUAUAGCUUCAAUUUCUUGAUCCAUAGCUUACCUCCAUUUUUCACAAUAUCCUCAAAUGUCUAGGGAUAACUGUCAGUGAACAAAGCUAGAUGAGCUAUGUUUACACCUUCUUCAUCAAAGAAACCUUGACCAGUUUCAUAAUCUCCCAUCCACACUGGUGGUCUUCGUGUUCGUCCUUUUGUGAGGUGAGUUGUCAUUAUUCAAGGUGUCUUCUUCUUCUAAAAAGUCACUGCUAUCAGUCCUACCGUCCUCCAAUUCUUCAUUAGCUUUAGACUCAUCUCCAUUGCCUUUAUCUUUUAUACUUGCUUAUUCGUUAGUUUCCCAUUCAAGAUCAGCCAAUAUGGCUUGCUUGUGACUGCAUCCAUACUCCAUUUUUUAUCUUCCUUAAAGACCACAUCUCGGUUUACAAUUAUUUUGUGAAAUGGGAUCAAUCUGCCUGUAAGCUUUAGACUCUUCACUUACUCCAAGUAAUAUGCAUUUGAGACUCUUGGCAUCAAGCUCCACUCUCUUGUUGUCAGGUAUAUGAGCAUGGAUAUGCAUCCAAAGAUUCUGAAAUGCUCCACUAAUGGUUUAAGUCCGCUCCAACCUUUUUAGGUAUUUCUCUCUUCACAGCAAGGGUCCGACUUCUAUUCAGCACAUGAACCAUCCAGUUUACAGCUUCAUACCAAUAAGUUUUAGAAAUUUUCUUCUCAGGCGACAUGCUUUGUACCAUAUUCAUAAUGGUUCGAUUUUUCCUCUCGGCAACACCGUUUUGUUAGGGAGUAUAUGUAGUCGUCAAUUGCAUGUGUAUUCCAUUCUUAUUACAGAAGUUUGUGAAUUCUUAUAAUGUGAACUCGCUCUCACGAUCUGUUCUAAAACUCUGUAUGAAUGCUCUAGUUUCAUUCUCGACCCUGGCUUUGUAGGUUUUGAAUGUGGCAAAGGCUUCUGAUUUUUCUACCAAGAAAUAAACCCAAGUUUUUCUACUGAAAUUGUUAAUAAAGGUGAUGAGAUACCUUUUCUUGCUGUUCGAGAUUGGAUUUAUCAAACCAUAUAUAUCAGCAUGCACCAAUUGAAGAAUUUUGAAGGCUCUCUAUAUACUUUCCUUUGGGAAUGGAUCAUGGUGUUGUCUUCCCACCAAACAGUCUUCACAUAUUCUCUAAGUAGCUUUGAACUGAGGUUACCCUUCAAUCAUCUUCUUUUGUUGAAGUACUUUGAGUCCAUUCCAGCUAAAAUGUCCAUAUUGACAGUGCUAAAGCAUGGCUUGAUUUGUGGUCUGUGAGGAGAAAUAUUUUUGCUCUCUUAGUGGACAGCGAGCAAGCACAUCAAGCAAACAUUCUAUUAUAUGUUAUCUCAGGAUGAAAGAUCUUACAUUUUCCAUGUUGAAUAAGCACAACGAGUCUCUUCUCUUGUAGUUGCUCGAUGCUUAACAAGUUGUUCUUCAGUUCUGGUACAAAGAAGACUCAUGUGAUCACAUGUGCAAUCUCAUUCACCUUUAUUUGAACCUUGCCUUUACUUCGUACAAUAAGGCUCGAGUCAUUUCUCAGCUUCACAGACUCUCUGAAAUUUCUAUCAAAUUCAAAAAAUAUGUCUCUUUUGCCACACAUAUGGUUGCUAUACCCAGAAUCAAGGAACCAAAUGUUCUCUACUUCAUCUUUUUUAAAGUCCACAUGGACCAUCAACAACAUCUCUUCUUUUGUUUCUGCGUAGUUUGCCUUUGGAUCCCUUGCUUUCCUUGGACACGUCCACUGAAAAUGCCCUAACUCAUGACAAUUAUAGAUUGUAAUGUAGAUUUCUCAAACUCAAAUCUACCUCUACCUCUUCCUCUUCCUCUUCCUUUUCCUCUUCCUCUU
Malus domestica (apple) is the source of this 4457-nucleotide long non-coding RNA. RefSeq lists it as uncharacterized. The record is from RefSeq and is a predicted model, not a curated record. NCBI's taxonomy places the organism in Eukaryota, Viridiplantae, Streptophyta, Magnoliopsida, Rosales, Rosaceae.